RNAcentral lists this long non-coding RNA (312 nucleotides) under Bos taurus (domestic cattle). RNAcentral's name for it is "long non-coding RNA NONBTAT022755". Lineage: Eukaryota; Metazoa; Chordata; Mammalia; Artiodactyla; Bovidae. The record is from RNAcentral.
UCUUUUGAGUCUGUUCCCAAAUCAUUAAAAAUUAGACUACAUUUCAUUAGGACAGGACUCUUUUUUUCCUCUCUUAGGACAGGUCUCGUUUUUUUUUCCCUUUCUUAACUACAUAACUAGCAUCUCGCACAAAUCCAUCAUAUGUGACAGAUCUGUACUGAACGAAUUGUUGAAAGAGAACUAUAUUGUGGAAGGCAGAAAUAGACCUGAGGAGUGAGGGUGCGAUGUGUAGAAACUCUUCAUCAAGCAGAGAACAACUUCCUCUUAUUCGUGAUUUUUAUGAUUGUUCGCUACCCUCUAGGUUUUGAGUAC